This 220-nucleotide ribosomal RNA is filed under the name uncultured fungus. Its description in RNAcentral is "partial 18S ribosomal RNA". The stretch from base 92 to 220 matches the Rfam family "Eukaryotic small subunit ribosomal RNA", at positions 738 to 869 of the family's 1831-position model. Lineage: Eukaryota; Fungi. The record is from RNAcentral.
UGAUCAUCAAGUUGGUCGUGCCUUCGGUAUGUACUUGCUUCGGUGGACCCUCCUUCUUGAAGAGCCGUAAUGCCAUUAAUUUGGUGCUGCGGGGAAACAGGACUGUUACUUUGAAAAAUUAGAGUGUUUAAAGCAGGCAAUCGCUUGAAUACAUUAGCAUGGAAUAAUGAAAUAGGACGUUCGAUCUUAUUUUGCUGGUUUCUAGGAUUGACGUAAUGAU